UACGGGGGGAGCAAGCGUUGUCCGGAUUUACUGGGCGUAAAGAGCGUGUAGGCGGCCAAGCAGGUCCGUUGUGAAAACUGGAGGCUUAACCUCCAGACGUCGACGGAAACCGCGUGGCUAGAGUCCGGAAGAGGAGAGUGGAAUUCCUGGUGUAGCGGUGAAAUGCACAGAUAUCAGGAAGAACACCAAUGGCGAAGGCAGCUCUCUGGGACGGUACUGACGCUGAGACGCGAAAGCGUGGGGAGCGAACAGG
RNAcentral lists this ribosomal RNA (253 nucleotides) under uncultured bacterium. RNAcentral's name for it is "partial 16S ribosomal RNA". It matches the Rfam family "Bacterial small subunit ribosomal RNA", at positions 524 to 776 of the family's 1533-position model. The record is from RNAcentral.